RNAcentral lists this non-coding RNA (87 nucleotides) under Acinetobacter baumannii. RNAcentral also lists the same sequence under 1 other name. Lineage: Bacteria; Pseudomonadati; Pseudomonadota; Gammaproteobacteria; Moraxellales; Moraxellaceae. The record is from RNAcentral.
CUCUACGGUAGGGCGGAAGGGGGACACCUCUGGUGUGCUGGUUCCUUUGUUUCCAGUCUGCGAACCCCCUUUCGUUCUGCCACCAUA